CUAGCGGCGGAUGGGUGAGUAACGCGUGGGUAACCUGCCCUUAAGUCUGGGAUACCAUUUGGAAACAGAUGCUAAUACCAGAUAAAAGCUACUUUCGCAUGAAAGAAGUUUAAAAGGCGGCGUAAGCUGUCGCUAUGGGAUGGCCCCGCGGUGCAUUAGCUAGUUGGUAAGGUAAAGGCUUACCAAGGCGAUGAUGCAUAGCCGAGUUGAGAGACUGAUCGGCCACAUUGGGACUGAGACACGGCCCAAACUCCUACGGGAGGCAGCAGUAGGGAAUCUUCCACAAUGGACGCAAGUCUGAUGGAGCAACGCCGCGUGAGUGAAGAAGGUUUUCGGAUCGUAAAGCUCUGUUGUUGGUGAAGAAGGAUAGAGGUAGUAACUGGCCUUUAUUUGACGGUAAUCAACCAGAAAGUCACGGCUAACUACGUGCCAGCAGCCGCGGUAAUACGUAGGUGGCAAGCGUUGUCCGGAUUUAUUGGGCGUAAAGCGAGCGCAGGCGGAAGAAUAAGUCUGAUGUGAAAGCCCUCGGCUUAACCGAGGAACUGCAUCGGAAACUGUUUUUCUUGAGUGCAGAAGAGGAGAGUGGAACUCCAUGUGUAGCGGUGGAAUGCGUAGAUAUGGAAGAACACCAGUGGCGAAGGCGGCUCUCUGGUCUGCAACUGACGCUGAGGCUCGAAAGCAUGGGUAGCGAACAGGAUUAGAUACCCUGGUAGUCCAUGCCGUAAACGAUGAGUGCUAAGUGUUGGGAGGUUUCCGCCUCUCAGUGCUGCAGCU
Molecule: ribosomal RNA, 774 nt
Filed under: uncultured bacterium
Lineage: Bacteria
Description: bacterial SSU rRNA
Rfam family: Bacterial small subunit ribosomal RNA
Source: RNAcentral